CAGAUUUUAAAUCAGAAUGACGCAUGUACGUUGCUGAGUCUGGCACUCGUUGAAAAUUAAAACUCAAUCGGAGCCUGCGACUCGAUUCCGUCGCUUACAAGUUACAAACGCUUAACGCUUAAUAAAAAUAAGAAGAGAGAGGUCACCACCGAAGCAGUGAAGCCAUUGGUGGAUCUCGCAGCGGAGAAGGCGAUGGUGGUUCUGAGCAGUCAUACAACAAUCGAGGAGAACAAAAGCUCAGCCGGAAGCUAUGACGCGAUUCCGCCGCUUACAACGCUCUAGAAGUUGUGCACGCUUCAGCAAAACAAGGAGAGUUGAUUCACCACCAGAGGGGUGAAUCCGUUGGUAGACUUUUGGGGCAAAGUAGGGGACUGUAGUGGUGAAAUGGUAGAGAAGGCGAUUUGGAGGCUAUGUGGACAUUGUUUCAAAAAAGUAAUUUCCUUUUCACACAAAGGACUAAUUUCCUUUUCACACAAAGGACAUUUUUACCAUACUUGGAUCGAGUUUGUUUAAGAUAGUGUUUGUGAGAUAUGGUUUAAAUCUUUUUGCUAAGCUGUUGGAUUAUCUUUGCCACUGUUUUUUUUUGGUCAAAUCUUUGCCACUGGUUUAGAUAUCGUUUAUGUUCAUAAAUGUGGCGUCAUUCUUGUAAAAUGACAGUAACUGAAUCCGAGAUGCGAUCAUAUGGGUCACUUGCAACGAAGAUUUCAUAUUGGCUGGGUAACUAAAUGUCUUCGCUUUAUGGUUUGAGCUUGUGUUUCUCAUGUUUGUUAGAUUUGAUUUACUAAUUUGGAAAGGAUCAACAAAAUAUCUUCGCAUUAUUCGCAAUGGAAUAGGAACAAAGCUGAUAAAGAAGUUGACAAAGUAUCUGAGGAUGCAGAGGAAGAGAAAUAAGGAUAGAACAUAAGGUUCAAAGGCUUGGAAUAUACUGAUUAUGUGUUAAUUAAGAAUUUAAAAGUGUAGUUUACGAAUAUUGCGUAGGAAAAUUUGUUAUGUUUGUUGCAAAACUAAUUUGGAUAUUUUGAAUGUGACUGAAUGUCAUAUAGAGUGUGAUUGGUUA
Molecule: long non-coding RNA, 1057 nt
Organism: Brassica napus (rape)
Lineage: Eukaryota; Viridiplantae; Streptophyta; Magnoliopsida; Brassicales; Brassicaceae
Exons: 2
Source: RefSeq, a predicted model, not a curated record